Molecule: unclassified non-coding RNA, 419 nt
Filed under: fungal sp.
Lineage: Eukaryota; Fungi
Description: partial internal transcribed spacer region
Rfam family: Eukaryotic small subunit ribosomal RNA (bases 1-46)
Source: RNAcentral
AAGUCGUAACAAGGUUUCCGUAGGUGAACCUGCGGAAGGAUCAUUAUCAUAACGUAUCCACGUAUAAACCAACUUUAAAUUGAUGUGAAACGUAACUGUUUUAACACCUCGAGAUAAUCAGAUGAUUGCUAUACUUUACAUUGUUUGCGUGAUUAAAGCAAAAACGGUUUAGUAUGGACCUGUGCCUGUAACAAGGUGCUAGCGCUGAUUAUUUGGAGUGUAAAAAUUUAAUCAACUAUUAACCCAUUGAACCGAAUUACUAUAUUCUUAACUGAGUUUAGUUAUUCAUUUUAAUUUCUAUUGUGUGAACUGAAUUGUCUACUUACUUGACACCAUCAUUGGUGGAGAGAAGUCGAUUAUAUUUACGAAACAUUAUAAAUUUCUAUGAACAACUCUUAGCAACGGAUAUCUUGGUUCUC